AGAGUUUGAUCAUGGCUCAGAUUGAACGCUGGCGGCAUGCCUUACACAUGCAAGUCGAACGGUAACAGGUCUUCGGAUGCUGACGAGUGGCGAACGGGUGAGUAAUACAUCGGAGCGUGCCCGAUCGUGGGGGAUAACGAAGCGAAAGCUUUGCUAAUACCGCAUACGAUCUACGGAUGAAAGCAGGGGACCGCAAGGCCUUGCGCGAACGGAGCGGCCGAUGGCAGAUUAGGUAGUUGGUGGGAUAAAAGCUUACCAAGCCGACGAUCUGUAGCUGGUCUGAGAGGACGACCAGCCACACUGGGACUGAGACACGGCCCAGACUCCUACGGGAGGCAGCAGUGGGGAAUUUUGGACAAUGGGCGAAAGCCUGAUCCAGCCAUGCCGCGUGCAGGAUGAAGGCCUUCGGGUUGUAAACUGCUUUUGUACGGAACGAAAAGACUCUGGUUAAUACCUGGGGUCCAUGACGGUACCGUAAGAAUAAGCACCGGCUAACUACGUGCCAGCAGCCGCGGUAAUACGUAGGGUGCAAGCGUUAAUCGGAAUUACUGGGCGUAAAGCGUGCGCAGGCGGUUAUAUAAGACAGAUGUGAAAUCCCCGGGCUCAACCUGGGAACUGCAUUUGUGACUGUAUAGCUAGAGUACGGCAGAGGGGGAUGGAAUUCCGCGUGUAGCAGUGAAAUGCGUAGAUAUGCGGAGGAACACCGAUGGCGAAGGCAAUCCCCUGGGCCUGUACUGACGCUCAUGCACGAAAGCGUGGGGAGCAAACAGGAUUAGAUACCCCUGGUAGUCCACGCCCUAAACGAUGUCAACUGGUUGUUUGGGUCUUCACUGACUCAGUAACGAAGCUAACGCGUGAAGUUGACCGCCUGGGGGAGUACGGGCGCAAGGUUUGAAACUCAAGGAAUUGACGG
Molecule: ribosomal RNA, 913 nt
Filed under: uncultured bacterium
Lineage: Bacteria
Description: bacterial SSU rRNA
Rfam family: Bacterial small subunit ribosomal RNA
Source: RNAcentral